This 253-nucleotide ribosomal RNA is filed under the name uncultured bacterium. RNAcentral describes it as "partial 16S ribosomal RNA". It matches the Rfam family "Bacterial small subunit ribosomal RNA", at positions 524 to 776 of the family's 1533-position model. The record is from RNAcentral.
UACGUAGGGGGCUAGCGUUGUCCGGAAUCAUUGGGCGUAAAGAGCGUGUAGGCGGUCCGGUAAGUCCGCUGUGAAAGUCGGGGGCUCAACCCUCGAAUGCCGGUGGAUACUGUCGGGCUAGAGUGCAGAAGAGGCGAGUGGAAUUCCUGGUGUAGCGGUGAAAUGCGCAGAUAUCAGGAGGAACGCCGGUGGCGAAAGCGGCCUGCUGGACCUCUUCUGACGCUGAGGCGCGAAAGCCAGGGGAGCGAACGGG